RNAcentral lists this ribosomal RNA (289 nucleotides) under uncultured prokaryote. RNAcentral's name for it is "partial 16S ribosomal RNA". It matches the Rfam family "Bacterial small subunit ribosomal RNA", at positions 355 to 635 of the family's 1533-position model. The record is from RNAcentral.
UGAGGAAUAUUGCGCAAUGGGGGAAACCCUGACGCAGCAACGCCGCGUGAGUGAGGAAGGUUUUCGGACCGUAAAGCUCUGUCGAGCGGGAAGAAAUGCAUAGUGGCUAAUAUCCAUUAUGCUUGACGGUACCGCUAAAGGAAGCACCGGCUAACUCCGUGCCAGCAGCCGCGGUACUACGGGGGGUGCUAGCGUUGUUCGGAAUCAUUGGGCGUAAAGAGCGUGUAGGCGGCUGGAUAAGUCAGAUGUGAAAGCCCUGGGCUUAACCCAGGAAGUGCAGUUGAAACUG